GCUAACUCCGUGCCAGCAGCCGCSGKKRUACGAGGGUGGCAAGCGUUWUCCGGAUUUAUUGGGUUUAAAAGGGUGSGUAGGCGGUUUGAUAAGUCAGCGGUGAAAUAUUUCAGCUUAACUGGAAGGGKGCCGUUGAUACUGUCAGGCUUGAAUUUAGUUGCUGUGGGUGGAAUGUGUGGUGUAGCGGUGAAAUGCAUAGAUAUCACACAGAAUAUCGAUUGCGAAGGCAGCUCACAAAGCUAAAAUUGACGCUGAUGCACGAAAGUGUGGGGRUCAAACAGGAUUAGAUACCCUGGUAGUCCACGCAGUAAACGAUGAUUACUAGCUGUUUGCGAUACACAGUAAGCGGCACAGCGAAAGCGUUAAGUAAUCCACCUGGGGAGUACGCCGGCAMYMGGUGAAACUCAAAGGAAUUGACGGGGGCCCGCACAAGCGGAGGAACAUGUGGUUUAAUUCGAUGAUACGCGAGGAACCUUACCCGGGUUUGAACGUAGGGAGACAGGGGUGGAAACAUCCUUUUCAGCAAUGACUGCCUACGAGGUGCUGCAUAGUUGUCGUCAGCUCGUGCCGUGAGGUGUCGGCUUAAGUGCCAUAACGAGCGCAACCCUUAUUUCCAGUUACUAACAGGUAAUGCUGAGGACUCUGGAGAGACUGCCAGCGUAAGCUGUGAGGAAGGUGGGGAUGACGUCAAAUCAGCACGGCCCUUACAUCCGGGGCGACACACGUGUUACAAUGGUAAGGACAAAGGGCAGCUACCGGGCGACCGGAUGCGAAUCUCUAAACCUUAUCUCAGUUCGGAUCGGAGUCUGCAACUCGACUCCGUGAAGCUGGAUUCGCUAGUAAUCGCGCAUCAGCCAUGGCGCGGUGAAUACGUUCCCGGGCCUUGUACACACCGCCCGUCAAGCCAUGGGAGCCGGGGGUACCUGAAGUUCGUAACCGCAAGGAUCGACCUAGGGUAAAACUGGUGACUGGGGCUAAGUCGUAACAAGGUAACC
Molecule: ribosomal RNA, 995 nt
Filed under: uncultured Bacteroides sp.
Lineage: Bacteria; Pseudomonadati; Bacteroidota; Bacteroidia; Bacteroidales; Bacteroidaceae
Description: bacterial SSU rRNA
Rfam family: Bacterial small subunit ribosomal RNA
Source: RNAcentral